Molecule: ribosomal RNA, 431 nt
Filed under: uncultured bacterium
Lineage: Bacteria
Description: bacterial SSU rRNA
Rfam family: Bacterial small subunit ribosomal RNA
Source: RNAcentral
UGAGGAAUAUUGGUCAAUGGGCGGGAGCCUGAACCAGCCAAGCCGCGUGAGGGAGGAAGGCCCUAUGGGUCGUAAACCUCUUUUGUCAGGGAACAAAAGCGAGUAUGUAUACUAGUCUGAGUGUACCUGAAGAAAAAGCAUCGGCUAACUCCGUGCCAGCAGCCGCGGUAAUACGGAGGAUGCGAGCGUUAUCCGGAUUUAUUGGGUUUAAAGGGUGCGUAGGCGGCGAUGCAAGUCAGCGGUAAAAGCCCGGGGCCACCCGCACGAGCGCUGAAUACUGCAGUGCUAGAGAAGGCGAGAGGUACGCGGAAUGCGCAGUGUAGCGGUGAAAUGCUUAGAUAUUGCGCAGAACUCCGAUUGCGAAGGCAGCGUACUGGCGCCUGACUGACGCUGAGGCACGAAAGCGUGGGGAUCGAACAGGAUUAGAUACC